UGCUUGGACGGCUUUGCGAGUUGCAGAUCGGUGAGCAUGGAUUUCAUCGCGGUGUUCAUCAUGGCGGCGUCCGUUAUGCGGUGUCCAUCAUGAUCCGGAUUUAGGCCGUUCGUCUUUUCCCGAUUCCAGCUCAGGUCACCGGAUUAUAGGUCGGGCCGCGUUUGGCGGCCUGGAGCGCCGCCAGCAAAGCUUUGGAAAAACUUGCCUUUUCGUCCGGGCCGAGAAAGCCGCCGAUUGAAAGCCGCCGUCCUCUGGA
This 256-nucleotide unclassified non-coding RNA is filed under the name Hevea brasiliensis (rubber tree). Lineage: Eukaryota; Viridiplantae; Streptophyta; Magnoliopsida; Malpighiales; Euphorbiaceae. The record is from RNAcentral.